RNAcentral lists this ribosomal RNA (425 nucleotides) under uncultured bacterium. Its description in RNAcentral is "partial 16S ribosomal RNA". It matches the Rfam family "Bacterial small subunit ribosomal RNA", at positions 354 to 796 of the family's 1533-position model. The record is from RNAcentral.
GUGGGGAAUCUUUCGCAAUGGGCGAAAGCCUGACGCAGCCAUUCCGCGUGAAUGAUGACGGUCUUAGGAUUGUAAAAUUCUUUCACCGGGGACGAUAAUGACGGUACCCGGAGAAGAAGCUCCGGCUAACUUCGUGCCAGCAGCCGCGGUAAUACGAAGGGGGCUAGCGUUGCUCGGAAUUCCUGGGUGUAAAGGGCGCGUAGGCGGACAGCUUAGUCAGAGGUGAAAGCCCAGGGCUCAACCUUGGAAUUGCCUUUGAUACUGGCUGUCUUGAGUUUGGGAGAGGUGAGUGGAACUCCGAGUGUAGAGGUGAAAUUCGUAGAUAUUCGGAAGAACACCAGUGGCGAAGGCGACUCACUGGCCCAAUACUGACGCUGAGGCGCGAAAGCGUGGGAAGCAAACAGGAUUAGAUACCCGAGUAGUCC